This 620-nucleotide ribosomal RNA is filed under the name Trichoderma brevicompactum. Its description in RNAcentral is "eukaryotic LSU rRNA". The stretch from base 239 to 392 matches the Rfam family "5.8S ribosomal RNA". Lineage: Eukaryota; Fungi; Ascomycota; Sordariomycetes; Hypocreales; Hypocreaceae. The record is from RNAcentral.
AAAAAGGUCUCGUUGGUGACCAGCGGAGGGUCAUUACCGAGUUUACAACUCCCAAACCCCAAUGUGAACGUUACCAAACUGUUGCCUCGGCGGGAUUUCUGCCCCGGGCGCGUCGCAGCCCCGGACCAAGGCGCCCGCCGGAGGACCAAUUUACAAACUCUUUUGUAUAUCCCAUCGCGGAUUCUUUACAUUCUGAGCUUUCUCGGCGCUCCUAGCGAGCGUUUCGAAAAUGAAUCAAAACUUUCAACAACGGAUCUCUUGGUUCUGGCAUCGAUGAAGAACGCAGCGAAAUGCGAUAAGUAAUGUGAAUUGCAGAAUUCAGUGAAUCAUCGAAUCUUUGAACGCACAUUGCGCCCGCCAGUAUUCUGGCGGGCAUGCCUGUCCGAGCGUCAUUUCAACCCUCGAACCCCUCCGGGGGGUCGGCGUUGGGGAUCGGCACUUACCUGCCGGCCCCGAAAUACAGUGGCGGUCUCGCCGCAGCCUCUCCUGCGCAGUAGUUUGCACACUCGCACCGGGAGCGCGGCGCGUCCACGGCCGUAAAACAACCCAAACUUCUGAAAUGUUGACCUCGGAUCAGGUAGGAAUACCCGCUGAACUUAAGCAUAUCAAUAAGCGGAGGA